CUCUCUCUCUCUCUUCCAAUUUUCUGAUUUUUUUCCUGAGAAAAAAAAAAGGAAAAAAAAGAGGGAAAAUUUUCGUUUGAGAUUUUUUUUUUGGGCUAAAGAUGAAGUUGAUGGAAGAGGAGACGGUGUUCGAAGAGGAAAAUGAAAUCAAGGCUAUGAAAGAGGAAGAAGAGGUUGGCGGUGAAGAUGAAAGUGAAGUAGAAGGCGGCGAACCCGAAGAGGAAGACGACGACGACGACGACGAGGAUGAGGAUGAUGAAGGCGAAGAUGACGACGACGACGACGACGACGACGAAGGAGAGGAGGAUGACGAUGUGCAGGUUCUUCACUCAUCCGGUCCUCCUGUCCUGAUAGCUGAUGACGAGGAGGGCGAGGAUGUUAAAGACGAUGAUGACGACGAUGAAGGCGACGGCGAUGACGAUGACGACGACGACGACGAUGACGACAGUGAUGAAGAUGAAGAGGGUGAAGAAGAGGUAAAAUUCUUUUAAUCUUACUUUAAUUCCAGUUAAUUGUUGUGAUUAAUGGAAAAGUUUUGUUUUCUCAAGUCUUUUUUUUUUCAGCUGAAACUGUUCAGAUCCAUUGUUUUCCGUACUUUUUUUGGGGCUAACUGUUUGAUUCUUUACUAAUCCGAAAAUUAAACAUAAAAUCUUCGAGUCCUUUUUAUGAUUAUUCAAGAAUCAAGCUUAAUUUCUCAUAAAUAUUUACUAUUUCUAGAAGGAUAUUUGUAAUUCUUUAGUUUUCCUCUCAGAUCUAGUUUUUUUUCCUUUUCUAUGCAACGAAAGGAGAAUAUAAUUGACUGUAUAUUUCACAGAUCCAAAAACAUUAGAAAUUUGUUCACUUAUACAACAUAGCUGAUGCUCGGUAUCAAAAUCCAUAAUCAAAAUUCACUUCAGAGUCUUCAAAAUCUAACUUAGAAGCUCUAGAUCUAGGGUUAUAUUUUGAAUUUUUAUUCUUUUGUUUCUCAAUUAGUAAUUCAUCUGAGUUUUGUUCUCUUAAUCCAGAGAUUUUAUUUUUCCAUGUCUCCAUGUUUGGCUACUAGGAAAAAUACAUAGGAAAAUUGUUUUUUGUUUGUUAUUUGUUUUAACCUGUUUUGUUUUCAGGAGGAUAUGGGAACAGAAUACCUUGUCCGGCCUGUAGUACCAGCUGAAGAUGAAGAAGACGCUAGUGAUUUUGAACCAGAAGAAAAUGGUGAAGAGGAAGAAGAAGAAGAAGAAGAUGAAGACGAUGAAGAAGGUAGUGGAAAGAUCGAAGCUCCGC
RNAcentral lists this long non-coding RNA (1260 nucleotides) under Gossypium raimondii (Peruvian cotton). Its description in RNAcentral is "long non-coding RNA (GRAI_LNC000870)". The record is from RNAcentral. Lineage: Eukaryota; Viridiplantae; Streptophyta; Magnoliopsida; Malvales; Malvaceae.